UCGGAGCCAAGCCGGAGUACCCUGAUCAUCUUCAUUGCUGUUGUGGGUUAGCCUACACCGCGUCGCAUCACCACUGCACCGACCCGCCACGGCCCCGCUAGCCUAACUCCAUCGCCACCCAAGGUAUAACCUAUCUUUAUGUAUCAUGGUCGUGUAUAGCGUAACCUAGUUAGGCGUCUCCCGUUCGAAAGAGAUACGGAUGAAAAUAUACAGAUCUUUGCAUAUAUAUAACCGUAUCUGUUUUGAAUUGUCCACGUUUUUUGGAUAGCUCGUGGAUGCGUAGAUGAGAUUAGUUUCCAUGGUCUGCUCUGAUUCGAGACAGAGUUUUGGCAUCAUCUUCCUGUUGUUCUCCGGAUACACACUCUCCUUGCAAGGACGUGUAUCUGGAGAACAGUGGGGAGGUGCUGCCGAAAUUCUGUCUCGGAUCAGAGUAGAGCAUGGGAACUAAACUCAUCUCCGCACCCUCGAGUGGGAUUAGGACCUAUCCUCACCUAUUAGAUUGUAGGAACAUCAUAUAGAUGUCAUUGGUGGUUAUGUUACUCUUUGAUAUAUAUGUUAGAAGAUGGAUAAUCGUGAGUGGAUGUACACGGGCCACUCAAGUCAGGGUCAGGUCAGCAAUGAAUGGAUCAACAAGACCGAUGAUUUCUUGGAACGGGCAUUUGGCGAGGCUGGUAAAGGAGCAAGUAAAAUCUUUUGUCCCUGUAGUAAGUGUGCAAACAGAAAAAGACAAACAAAGAAGUUCAUGGGGCAGCAUCUUUGGAAGAAUCGAUUCACGCCAGACUAUACCCGGUGGGUCUACCAUGGUGAAGCCGAUCGCAUGAGAGAGGAGGUGGUGAGACAACGCAUUGAGGAUUACGAUGCUAAUGCCAGGGUAGCAAACAUGUUAGAUGACUUUCACGGAGCACAAUUCCCUGAAGGAAGUACAGAGGAGGAGCCAGAGGAAACUGCAAAGGCGUUCUACGAUAUGUUUUCUUCAGCACAGAAACCCCUUCACUGCAAGACAACGGUUUCUCAACUGGAUGCGAUUGGACGCAUAAUUGCAUUAAAGUCUCAGUUUAGCCUGAGUCGAGAUGCCUAUGAUGGUGUGUUGACAGUUAUUGGCUCUCUGCUUCUAGAGGGUCACAUUUUGCCAAAGAGCAUGUAUGAAUCACAGAAACUCCUUCGUGCACUUAAGAUGCCGUAUGAGCAGAUACAUGCUUGUCCGAAGGGGUGUGUCCUAUUUAGGAAAGAACAUGCGGAAGCAAAGUAUUGUCCAAAGUGUAAAUCUUCUAGGUUCAUGGAAGUAGACUCUGGUGAUGGCCAGAAGCGGUAGCUUGACAUCCCGGUGACGAUCCUACGACACCUUCCAUUCAUACCGAGGAUCCAACGGCUAUACAUGACCGAGGAAUCUGCGAAACAGAUGACAUGGCAUAAAAAUGGCAAACGAUACAAUCCUAACAAGAUGGUACAUGCAUCUGCUGGUGAAGCAUGGACCCACUUUGAUGACAUUCAUCAUGAGAAAGCUAAAGAGGCUCGUAAUAUACGUGUUGCACUAGCAACAGAUGGGUUCAAUCCUUAUGGAAUGAUGGCUGCCCCAUACAGAUGUUGGCCCGUGUUCGUUAUCCCCCUCAAUCUCCCACCCGGCGUAUGCUUUCAACGAUAGAAUGUUUUCUUGUCGUUGAUAAUUCCUGGGCACCCCGGGAAUAAUAUGGGUGUGUUCAUGGAGCCUAUGAUUGAUGAAUUGGUUCAUGCAUGGGAGGAAGGGGUAUGGACAUACGAUCGAGCUACAAAGACAAACUUCAAAAUGUAUGUUUGCUACCACUACUCCCUGCAUGACUUCCUGGCAUAUGGGAUAUUCUGCGCUUGGUGUGUUCACGGGAAGUUCUCAUGCCCAGUAUGCAAGGAAGCUCUGAGAUUCAUUUGGUUGCAAAAGGGUGGCAAGUAUUUGUCAUUCGACAAUCAUCGAUAAUUCCUCCCUAUUGACCAUCCAUUCAGACAAGACAUCAAGAACUUUACGAAAGGUGUUGUAGUGACAGACCCUGCACCCCAGAUGAUGAAUGCUGCCGCAGUUCGUGAACAGAUAGAUGCUCUCGUGGUCAAUGAAGAAGGAGGCGGUUUUGUGGGAUAUGGUGAGCAACAUAUGUGGACUCAUAAGUCGGGCUUGACUCGGCUCCCCUAUUUGAUGACCUACUCCUUCCACACAACAUUGAUGUAAUGCACACUGAAAAGAAUGUCACUGAGGCACUUUGGGCAACAAUCAUGUAUAUUCCUGAUAAGUCAAAGGACAACGUUAAGGCUAGAGUGGAUCUGGCAACGUUAUGCGAUAGACCAAACCUAGAGAUGAAGCCUCCUAAUCGCGGCACGACAUGGAGAAGGCCUAAGGCCGAUUUUGUCUUGACUAGGGCCCAAAGGAGAGAAGUACUAGAAUGGAUGCAGACGUUAAUGUUCCCUGAUGGGUAUGCAGCUAAUCUGAGGAGGGGAGUGAACUUAUGUACUAUGCGAGUCUUAGGGAUGAAGAGUCAUGACUAUCACAUAUGGAUUGAGCGUCUUCUUCCGGCAAUGGUCCGAGGCUAUGUCCCUGACCAUGUCUGGCUAGUGCUGGCAGAGUUGAGCUAUUUCUUCUGCCAGCUUUGUGCCAAGGAAUUAACUCGGACUGUGAUUGAAGACUUGGAAAGAAUGACACCUGUGUUGCUAUGUAAGUUGGAGAAGAUAUUUCCACCUGGCUUCUUCAAUCCGAUGCAACAUUUGAUUUUGCACCUCCUGUAUGAGGCACGAAUGGGUGGGGCCCGUGCAGGGCCGUUGGUGCUAUCCAAUCGAGAGAUGUCUAAAGGUUCUUAGAAAGAAAUGUAGAAAUAAAUGCAAAACUGAGGCUUCCAUUGCAGAGGCAUUCAUUCUAGAGGUGUCGAACUUCACAACAACAUACUAUGACAACCUCCCUAGUGUGCAUAAUCCACCCCCUCGUUACAAUGCUGGCGAAAAUGAAUCAAACCUCAGACUUUUCCGAGGGCAACUCAGAAGCGCAAGUGGAUCGACCCCCAAGACCUUGAAACCUGAAGAGUGGCGUAGUAUCAUGCUUUAUGUGUUGAACAACCUUGACGAAGUCGAGCCAUACAUGCAGUAAGUUCUCAAUGAACUUGUUCCAUAUACCAUCAUUAUUUUUCAUCCAACCCCCUUGUUUCUCAAUGGUAUAGGGAAUUUCUUAAUUGAUUUUGGAAUCUAUCAAGGGAACCUACCCCUCAGGAAUGUGAUGCCCUUCUUAGACAGGGUGCGGGAAGUGGAAUGCCCGAUUUCAUUUCUUGGUUCAAAGAGAAGGUACCAUCCAAUUUAGCUCGUGAUUAUUUUGACAUUCCAAGUUACUCGUAUGUACGAAUAAUAUAACUAUAUAUCCUGCUUGAGCUUGUAGGGCCAAAGGGAUGUGUUAAUGAGUGCUGAGUUGAGACAGGUUGCAGAUGGCUUUGAAUAUAGGGUCAGGUCAUUUACCGGUUAUGACGUGAAUGGAUAUCGCUUUCACACAACAAAUUAUGAGCAGAGUCAACCUAAUCAAAGAACCACAAGUACCAGAGUUUUUACGCCUGGCCAAGAUGGGGUCGACUAUUAUGGAAGAAUGGAAGAAAUAUAUGAGCUCAAGUUUCGUGGUUCCAAAGCUCUUAAUCCUAUCAUAUUCAAAUGUCAUUGGUUUGAUCCUGAAGUAACGAGACAGACAUAUUAUAAUCUUGGGCUAGUCAAAAUUCGACAAGAUUCGGUCUUACCAGGUGAUGAUGUCUAUAUUGUGGCCCAACAAGCCACACAAGUUUAUUAUCUCUCAUAUGCGUGUCAAACCAAAGAGCAUCUUAAGGGUUGGGAUAUUUUGCACAAGAUAUCGCCACAUGGUAAAGUACCUAUCCCAAUUGAUGAAGAUUAUAACUUAGAGCCAAACACAUAUGAUGGAGAGUUCUUUCAAGAAGAGGGGCUCCAAGGGAGGUUUGAGAUAGACUUAACCGAAGCGAUCGGGAUGGAAGUAGACAAUGAAAGGGUUCUUGAUGAGGACGCUGGAGAUGAGGUGCAGAAUUUGAAGGACUUACAAAUGCUGGAGCAAUUACAUUUAGGCAAUCACAAUAGUGACAUAAUUGUUACUUCGGAUAGUGUUGAUUAUGACAUGGUUGAUAGUGAUGAUGAGACUUAUGAUCCAACUAAUCCGAAUCAUGAAGAUUAUUUCUAAUACAUGUAAUACUAUUUUUAUUUUGUAAUUAUGUUAUUUCUAAUACAUGUAAUACUAUGUUAUUUUGUAAUUAUGCUCCUCUUGCUGAUUAAUUCUUGUUUAAUCUUUUUAAUUGCAGGUGAUUGAAGAAAUAUGGUGGGCGGUAAUAUGAGGAGGGUGAACUCUCUUUACCAAAGAGCACGCCCUGCAGCGCCUGCUGCAGAUGAGGAGCCAUCACAGGGGAGGAGGAGGAGGAGGAGCAGGAGCAGCCGCAAGAGGGACCCGUCGCCUCUUGUCCUGGCACGUGCGGGGUGCGAGCACGUGAUGACCGAGGACGAGGAGCGGCACGAGGACAAGGAGCGGCAUGAGGACCAGGAGCGGCACGAGGACGAGGAGCGGCAUGAGGACGAGGAGUGCCGCGGGGACGAGGAGGAGGAGGAGGAGGAGGAGGGGGGGGCAGGAGGGGGUUCUACUACCUCUAGCGGCUCGAGUAUCUACUUGCGAGGUCCAGCGAGCCUCCCUGAGCGACGGAUACCUCCUCACAGGCGGCCGUUGAUUCGACCUGAUGGGGAAAAGUAAGUAACUUAAGAUGUUAUCACUACUUCAUACGAUAUGUUGAAAAUCACAAUACAAACUAAUAUUUUUUCUUAAACACUUGGGCAGGAGUUGGACGAUUGUACAGUUUGCAGGUUGUCACACACGCCAUGUCAAUGGCAUCCUAGGGCUUUUGUGCAAGGUGCACUUCCCUGGCUUUGUUCACUACGCUGGAGUGACGACGCUGGCCUACACGUUCGACCACUACGUCGCUGUUGAUGAUGCUAGAGAUCGGGAUGGUAGGCAAUUCGACAACAAGGCGGAGCGGGUGAAGGCCGAGCUAUGGGUAAGUCCUCGCACUAUGUUCCUCAAUACAUUGCAUUUAUUGGACAUUUCUCAAAUAAUGAAUGGACACAUUGCGUCUAUAUGCAGGAUUUCUUCAGAUGCCACGGGGGGAUGGAGGAGAGGGCGGCUUUGGUGGCUACCAAAGUCUGCAAAAAACUCGUGAAGGACAUGCAUUACGAGGCAUGCAUCUAGGCUGUCAUAACAUACCAUGGAGUAUUCCUUAGGACGAAGGUAACCAAAACUCAGGCAAGAACAAUGACGCUGACCCGACAACAAUACCUGGAGGUAAAUAUAGAAUAUUAAUACUAGUUUCUUUUGAGAUUAAGUAGGAUGAAUUUGAUCUUGUUAUAUGUCAUAUACUUGAUGACGUGCAGGCGAUUCCGUCUUGGUGCGCCUCGUACCCCGCAUGCUGGGCAUAUAUGGUGGACAAGUGGUGCGCCCCCGAGUGGGAGGAGACGCACAAUGCUUGUCGGGAGCGGCGUCUGAUGAUGCCAGGUGUACCACACCAUCAAGGCAGUCGCAACCUCAGUCGAUACGCACAGACAUGGGUAUGUGAUUUCAUUUGUUUAUUCCAAUACUCAAUUCUGCAUGAUUCCUAAUAAUCUUGCUAUUUGUAUUACAGUCGUCGUCACAUGGUGGCCAGCCUUGCUCUCAGUUCAAGGCAUGGGCUAUGGCUCACAAGGGGAAGGCGACGUCCGACAUCGACUACAACCCGGAGGACCCUCCCUCGGCGUACAGCAAUGCGACCGUCCAUAGCCGCCUCAGUGAGUACACGUCGAUGGCAAAGGUGGUCCAUGGGCCAGACUAUGAUCCAAGCACCCAGGACUUUGAUGGAGAAGUAGUCAUGAGGGUGAGAGGAGGAAAGAAGCAUGGGCGGUACUUGCUCGGUGAUGGCAUAAUCGAUACAGCCACUACUCCCUCUCUCUCUCAGAUCCGGGCAAGAAGCAUGAGCUCAAGCCCCGCCAUACGACCUCAGCCGGACACUGCACAGCACCGGAUGGAGGCACUCCAGGUUAUUCCUGUUUUAUUCAUUUUUCAUUGAUUUUUAGAUACCUUAGCUCUGCAAUAUUAUAAAAAUUGGGUUCAAAUAUUGUAGGUCCAGCUGGAAGAAGAGAAGAGGCGACGGGAGAAGUUGGAGGCGAGGAUCGCAGCCGAGCGGGAGGAGUUGGAGGCGAGGAUCACAGCCGAGCGGGAGGCCGAGCAGCGGAGGUUCGCAGACAUUCUACAGUACAUGCAAAGUCUUGGCGCCGCCCAGGGAAUGCCUCCACCACCUGGGCUAUUCGCUCUACCUCCACCUCCCGGUGCAACUACUCCUGUGAGUAUGAAUGUUUCAGGUUAUAUGUUCAUGUUUACAGUCAAACCACAACAAUACUUCGAACCUAGUGUUUCAGGUUAUCUUUUUUUAUAGAGAAAAACCCUGAUUUUAUAAAGCCACAAAGUAUAAAUAACAGACAAACUGAAAAAAAGUUUUAAGUUUCCAAACUAGCACAACUGCACAAGCUACUAAUCUGCAUACUCCCUUCUUACCUGCAUGCACAUCAUGUGCUACUUCCUGAUCCCUACCUGCAUGCACAACCAUAUGGGCUCGUCCAAGACAUAUCAAUUUUUUUAAAACUGCUAUAUGUUGCUUUGUAAAGAAGUAAUUAGCUCAUACUUAAUCGAAACAAUUGUAUUUAGCACAAACGAAUAGUCUUUGACGCUAUUAGUAUUCCUGUGUUCUAAACACUCAUUUCUAUGAAAUUCCUGUGUGUUUCCAAUCCUCUGUUUUACACCUUUAUUCCUUUCAUAUUCCUGUGUUUUCUUUCAUUCCUUUGUUUUGCAUUCCUUUUUUCCAAACAGGGCCUUAUCUUGUCUCACAUAUGUAAUCUCUUCUCCUCUGCAGAAUCAAUCGGCGGCAUCGAAUGAAGUGCCUCAUGCUACAAAUCCUUCACCAAAUCAGUCUCGUUGUUCGUGAUGAAACUUGUAGUUGUUAAUGGUACUUUUAUUUGCACUUCUUAUGGUA
RNAcentral lists this long non-coding RNA (7037 nucleotides) under Sorghum bicolor (sorghum). RNAcentral's name for it is "long non-coding RNA (SBIC_LNC009351)". Lineage: Eukaryota; Viridiplantae; Streptophyta; Magnoliopsida; Poales; Poaceae. The record is from RNAcentral.